GAGAGCCUGAUAGACAGUUCUGUCCCUCU
This 29-nucleotide non-coding RNA is filed under the name Rattus norvegicus (Norway rat). The record is from RNAcentral. Lineage: Eukaryota; Metazoa; Chordata; Mammalia; Rodentia; Muridae.